UGAGGGAUAUUGGUCAAUGGGGGAAACCCUGAACCAGCAACGCCGCGUGAGGGAAGACGGUUUUCGGAUUGUAAACCUCUGUCCUCUGUGAAGAUGAUGACGGUAGCAGAGGAGGAAGCUCCGGCUAACUACGUGCC
Molecule: ribosomal RNA, 137 nt
Filed under: uncultured bacterium
Lineage: Bacteria
Description: partial 16S ribosomal RNA
Rfam family: Bacterial small subunit ribosomal RNA
Source: RNAcentral